GACGAACGCUGGCGGCGUGCUUAACACAUGCAAGUCGAACGGACAGGCCCUGCUUUUGUGGGGUGCGCGGGGGGGCAAAGGGUGGGUAACACGUGGGGUACCCUCCCUUUCCGUUGGGGUAACCCCAGGGAACUGGGGCUAAUACCGGGUUGGAGCGGCUGCUGCGCGGGGGGGGGUGGAGAGUUUCGGCGGGUGGGGAUGAGCUCGCGGCUUGUGGGGUUGGUGGUGGGGUAGUGGCUUACCAGGGCGUUGGCGGGUAGCGGGCCUGAGAGGGUGACCGGCCUCAUUGGGACUGAGAUACGGCCCGGAGUCCUGCGGGAUGCAGCAGUGUGGGCUGUUGCACAAUGGGCGGAAGCCGGAUGCAGCAACGCCGCGUGCGGGAUGACGGCCUUCGUGUUGUGUACCGCUGUCGCCUGUGACGAAGCGUGAGUGACGGUAGCGGGUGAAGAAGCACCGGCUAACUACGUG
Molecule: ribosomal RNA, 468 nt
Filed under: uncultured bacterium
Lineage: Bacteria
Description: partial 16S ribosomal RNA
Rfam family: Bacterial small subunit ribosomal RNA
Source: RNAcentral